Molecule: long non-coding RNA, 1499 nt
Filed under: Lynx pardinus (Iberian lynx)
Lineage: Eukaryota; Metazoa; Chordata; Mammalia; Carnivora; Felidae
Source: RNAcentral
CGCCCCCUCCUCUUCUGUGCAGAGAAAGGUAGCCGGGGAGCUGUUGCAUGGCUGGGGUGCCGUCUGCCCUGACCCCUAUCGUUUCGCCUCUUGGCUUGGGUCCCAGGCCCCACGAUGGGCCGGCGGCUGGCUAAGGCCACAGAUGAGCUGAGUAGCUACACGGUAUGGCUUGGGAGCAUUUCAGCAUGGCGGGAAGGGAGCGUGCUUUGCAGGCGAAUGGCCCCAGCGUCCUGGCCCAGCCCUCUUUCCUUUGAAAUCCAACUGCAUUCUGGCACUUUGCAUUACUUAGGGUAACACGGGCAGCAGUAACAAAGAACCCCUCCGAUGUCACAGCCUUAGCACUGAUAUUUACGUCCAGUUCAGGACAGUGGGUGACCGUCCUCAGGUGGCGAUUCAGGAGCCCAGGCUCGCCGACCCCUAGGGCCUCGGAGAUCUCCGCGCGGAGGGUGAGAGAAAGCGCAGGUUACAUGAGCCUCAAACGACACACCUCACUUCUACUCACGUUUCAUUGUCAGGAGGAUGGGGAAACGUAAUCCGAGGGAGAACUUCGUGCUGUGGCCGGGAGGGUGCCAGUGUCGCUGUCACAGUAAUGGGGUAAACUUUCAAAGCUUCGAUUUCCUCGUCUGUAAACAGAGACGUGGAACCAACAGCCGAGAGUUACCAGGAAGACGAGAGCUGAUGUCUGCGAUGCAACUCAGCCAGUGCCUGACGUGGAUCGGGGGCUGUGAUUACAGCCAGAGGGACAGGGGCUGUCUCAUCAGCUGGAGCCGGGGCGAUCCAAGCUCAUGCCCACGUGUCCAUCCUGUGCUUCUGCAGAAAGAGGUUUCUUACGUGAGACUGUUAUGCAACGUGCGUGCUGGAUCGUGGUUAAUAUGGGAAUGCUGGUCUCCGUCGUGAUGAUUAUUAGGUAACGUGCAUUACGUACUGUGAUUACGUUGUAAAUGCAAGUGAACCGCUCACUCUACCGAACGUCCCAUGGACUAAAAUUCCGGGGGCGUCGACGCAAGCUUUGGACUAUUUUCCCAUUGUUUGCUAUCUUUGAAAAGGCCUUUGUUAUCAAAGCGGUAGAGAUCAUUGCAAAAAUUGCCAACACACAGAUGGCUCUAAAGUGGAACUUAAAAGCCUUCUCCCCACACUCGGGGCCCCCUCUCUUACCGUUGUUGGAUAAGCAACUAUCGUUAACGCUUUCGGUAAAUCCUUCCAGAAACACUCUACGUUUAUACACAAGCAUAUUUAAGUCCUCUCCUUUUGCACAAAAGCGAAUCAUGCUAACGUGUUAUUCCGCAACUCCUUUUUCUUUUUCUCUGCUUCCGCAUCUGCUCUAACUCAAUAGUAUUCCAUCGUGGAAUGAGCCACAGUUUCUUUAACCAGAGAUGAGAGGUUUAGUGCGAAGUAAAAAGGCAUCAAACCCCUCUUUUCUCCGUGUGAGUUGAUGGCUCACUCCCCAAGCUGACCUCCCCACCAGAUUUCAGGUGUCCUCUGAAAUCGCAGUCCCAUCC